This 334-nucleotide ribosomal RNA is filed under the name uncultured bacterium. RNAcentral describes it as "bacterial SSU rRNA". It matches the Rfam family "Bacterial small subunit ribosomal RNA", at positions 1 to 334 of the family's 1533-position model. The record is from RNAcentral.
AGCGACUUCAGAGUUUGAUCCUGGCUCAGGAUGAGCGCUGGCGGCGUGCAUAACACAUUCAAGUCGAACGGAGUAAUUCCUUCGGGGAUUGCUUAGUGGCGGACGGGUGAGUAACGCGUGAGCAACCUGCCCUUGUGUGGGGGACAACAGUUGGAAACGACUGCUAAUACCGCAUAAUGCAUCUCGAUCGCAUGUUUGAGAUGCCAAAGAUUUAUUGCGCAAGGAUGGGCUCGCGUUGGAUUAGAUAGUUGGUGAGGUAACGGCUCACCAAGUCGACGAUCCAUAGCCGGACUGAGAGGUUGAACGGCCACAUUGGAACUGAGAAACGGUCCAG